Molecule: long non-coding RNA, 686 nt
Filed under: Helianthus annuus (common sunflower)
Lineage: Eukaryota; Viridiplantae; Streptophyta; Magnoliopsida; Asterales; Asteraceae
Source: RNAcentral
AUGUUGUUGUGUAAAGUGUACAAGUCCAAAAGUAGUCAACAAAUGUUAUGUAUGGUAAGCAAAGUGUAGUCACAUAAACCAAAUGUAAAAAUGUACAAAACAAAGUAUUUUGAAUAUAUCAAAAAGUUAUGUUUUGCAAAGUAAAUGCAUGUUUAAUUGAUACUAACACUUAUGUGUGUACAAGUCCAAAAGUAGUCAACAAAUGUUAUGUAUGGUAAGCAAAGUGUAGUCACAUAAACCAAAUGUAAAAAUGUACAAAACAAAGUAUUUUGAAUAUAUCAAAAAGUUAUGUUUUGCAAAGUAAAUGCAUGUUUAAUUGAUACUAACACUUAUGUGGUAAGUUAAACGCAUACAUUCAAGCCUUGAGACAGACGGAUAACCUUAAGUCAAGGUUAUCAAAAGAAAUGUUUUCGGAUUCGGUCAUUCCUUACACCCAAACAAACCUAGGAUGUCAGGAACGGGAUUUGUCAAGUCCUAUGGUACCAUUACUUACUACCGAGCGGCGUAGCUAAUGUUAAUGAACGUAUAUAAGUCCCGUUUGCACAAACCAAAUGUUAUACCAAAUGUAAGCAUGUUAUAUGAAAACAAUGUACUAAUAUGCCAAGUAAACAUACAUAGCAAAACAAUGUAAUGUAAAUCGUGUACUAUAAGUGUACUAAUGAACAUAGCAAGUAUAUGAUAUGAAA